RNAcentral lists this long non-coding RNA (4445 nucleotides) under Homo sapiens (human). RNAcentral describes it as "HSALNT0084056". The record is from RNAcentral. Lineage: Eukaryota; Metazoa; Chordata; Mammalia; Primates; Hominidae.
AAAACAUACAUGCUAAAGUGGAGCACGAGACAUUUAUAUCAAAGAGCGGUGAGGAGGUGGAAGAAGUGGGCAGUGCAUAGGGUGAAGUAAGUCAGGAAAAAACGUCUUGGAGGUGGAACAUUGCUCUCUGAAAAGAAAUGAACGUGACAGUAGACAAGGCUAUGGAAGCUUCAGAUCCUGGGAGGGGCUAGUCUUGGAGGUAGCAGAGCCCUGCUCACUGGAAGGGGUGUGCCUGGCUACACAGGCCCCUUUUGGCUCACAGCAGCGCAUCUGUGGAAACCCAGGUUACCACUGUCUGUGCCUCAUCAAAGUCUGCCUGCUGCUUGGCGACAUCACGCUCCAGACCUGUCUCUAGGAGCCGUGUGACUGAAGGUCAAGGGUGUCUCCAGGGAGCUCUCACCUGCCUGGUUCGCCCCUGCCCUGCCCUCUGAUUGGUUAUCCACACACCCACAAAGUUGUUUCACUCUCUGCUCUAAAACAGUACAGGAUUUCUGGUGGCAAGGGAUGCAGCCUUCAUUACCACCCCCCAACCCGCACCCCAACACAAAGCAGAGGAUACAAAACAAAUGGAGGCUUCAUAUGUUCUGGCAGCAAGUCCUCGCCCAGAAAUCUGGAGAUGCAAAUAAAGGCCCCCUCGAACAAAACUCGCUAAACGUGCUGAGUGGCCACGAGCCCAUCCAAGAUAAAACUAAACUAGAAAACAUCUAAAGGCAUGGAAGAGGAGAAGGAAGCCAGGCUCUCAGCCCUGGCUGUGGAGGAGCUCCGCUCCGAAGGGCGAGGUCUGUCCACCAGGGAACAGGGGAGCCUGGUCUCUGGAGCGUGGAAACCACACCUGCCACCUUCCCCCGCGCACCAUGGUGGAUGCUACAGACAACAAAAGACUAGCUUUAUUAUUAUCUCCUGGGAAAACCCCGAUUACUUCGCUCUAUGACAUCCCCACUGAGAACUGCCACCAGCUCUACAGGUGAUCAGUUCUCACAUUAGGACUCAAAUGGAAGAAGGCUUUCCCCAAAAGUUGUCAAAAUUUAAUAUUCAAACUCGUAUAGCUAUCUGCAUCCGAUUCAUCUCACAAAGAAUCUUCUCCACAACCCAGGGUCUCUACAAGAAGCCAACAACUUGCAUGUGCUUAGAAAUCUCUGAGCAACCAGGGGUUCGUGUGUGCAUCCCUGGACACCGGGACUGCCUUCGUGAUGCUGUAAAUGGGCCCCGUCGUCCCAACUGCUAAGGUGCUUGGGAGCAGCCUGCGGAGAGGGAAGCACUGAGAGUGAGCCUGGAGGGAGCCUGGGGUCACUGUCACAGAGUUUGUACUUGAAACCUCCCCUGGGGGGUGCCAAGAGGCUGCCUCUACAAAGCAAGAGAGGAAUGUACCAUCUCACAACAGUCUUACAGUCUUACAAGAAAAAGAAAAGGAAAGCCAGAUGCACUGACUCAUGCCUGUAAUCCCAGCACUUUGAGAGGCUGAACGGGAGCAUGACCUGAGGUCAGGAGUUCAAGACCAACCUGGCCAACAUGAUGAAACCCCGUCUCUACUAAAAGUACGAAAAUUAGCUGGGUGUACAAAAUUACAAAAUUUAGUACAAAAAUUCACCUGCAGGAGAAUCACUUGAACCUGGGAGGCAGAGGUUGCAGUGAGCCGAGACUGCACCAUUGCACUCCAGCCUGUGUAAAAAGAGUAAAAUUCCACCUCAAAAAAAAAAAAAAAGGAAAAAAGGAACAGAAAAAAAAAAAGGAAGACAAAGCUAAGGAAGACCACGAUAAAGAAAAUAAAGGAGAAGAGAUGACUAUGAUGACCGUUCGCACAACUGUCAGAUGCAGGUCAUGGUGGUUAAAUGCAACAAAGCCCAGAGAUGUCUUGCCUGCCUUUCCUACCUUUACUAAUCAUCAAAUAUAUCCACAACCAGUUGCUCUUCAUCAGGAUUUGCUGGGUGCUAAGACUGAAUGCUUAUGUCCCCCUCACAAUUAAGGGAUUGAGUGUUCUUACAAAAGAGACUCCAGAGAGAUCCUGUGUCCCUUUCACCAGCAUGCUCCUCCACCUGUCUGCAUGUCGGUUGCUGCGUCCAUAUAAAGUGCUGCAGGGAUAUUUCGAGAAGCUAAUAAGACAAGUCAAUGUGCAAAUACCUUGCAAGUAUCUAAAAUGAAAAAUGUGAGCUCUUCUUCCCCAAGCAAAGAAAAGACCCAAAUAAAAAAUAACACAUAUGUAGAGGUUAUCUAUGAUAUUUUAGAUUUUAUGAGCUCUCUAUAAAUGAACAUUUGUUUCCUUUGUUCCUGAAAUGAAACCAUUACCUGUUUUUCUUGUUUGCCUUUUCCAGCCUAUCUGCCAAAAGUUAUUUUAUUUUACAAAAUGUCUUCCUAAAUUAUCCAAUCCUUUUCCUUCUGAACAUUUAAAACCAUUCAAAAAACCCAAAGUACAUUUUGAUCUAAGCAAUUAAGUUUCUUUACAUCAGUAAUCCCAAUGUCAUGUUGCGAACGUCAUUCUAGAAAAUGUCCCACAGCAAGUUUUUAAUGGCCUGUAAGCAGAGGCUUUAAAAUAAGGACAUUUUUAAAUGCUGGGUCAGGAAUAACUUCAGUGAGGCUCCAGCCCCCUGCCGCGACCUUUCUGCUGACAUGUCUCUGUUGACGCCAAUAUGGAAAUCCACUUGUUUCCAGGCUUUCUCUCUUCAUACCUCAUUAGGAUUCUGCACUGUUACAAAGUAAAACCACUGCCAGGACCAUGAAAUAUGAGGCAAUGGAAUACUCUAAAAUCCCACACCAUUCUUCAUUUACUGUCUUUCCAUCAAGUCACCAAACCAAAACUAUCAAAUUGAUUGUACAAGGCAAGAGAUAUGACAGAGUUAGAUGCCCAGAACAUUUUUUGCAAUCCUUCUUUUCUGGCGGGGUGGAGAUCUGAAAAUGUAUCCCUUCUAGGUUUCUGUAAGUAAUCAGAAGAACUGCAAAUUAUACUUUUGUUUUUGCCAAACUUUUAAGCUUGACAUGAUUGAAACUUCUAGAUUCCUCUAGUUUUCUCCUCUAAAAGCAACACUUCCAGCUAGGUUUAGCUGCUUCGCUGGAGAGCAUGCUGCAAUGUACCCAGCUUACCAUGAUGUCCCAGACAUGCUUUAAUAUACAGCUAGCAUAAGCAUGCCUAUUUUACUAAGGAUUUUCAUUUAAUUUUGUCCUUCUAUAAAACUAUCUAACCUUGGACAGUAUUACAGAUGACUCCUGGUCAUGUGAGUAGGCCAGGGAUUAGGGAUUUGGAUAUGAGGUGCUCCUUAGGAUUUCCCUGCCAAAGCAUUCCCUGCUGGUGUGUUCCAAUCACAAAAGAUAGCAGUGCUGUUGGAAAAGGCGGUGGCAUUUUUGCCAUCCAGGAUCCAGAUGCUUUCUUCGCUCCUGGGAUGGUAGCAAAAAAAACCUCAAAUCUUCAAAGUGAAUACCAGCAUUGAUCUUUAAGUUCAGUGAUGGAAUUACUCUCAGAGGCUUCCAUAACUAAAUUGAAAUCUCCCCAAUUCAAAAUUUCAAAAUAGAGUUUUCUUCUUACCUUCUGUUUUUGUCUGAAUGCAGUUCCGUCUCUCUCUCUGCACCAUAACAAAUCUCGGAAUUGGCUUCCCCAAUUUCCACCAAUCACCCAGCACUGGAAAGUCUAGUCUGUGCCCCCACCGGACCACAGUGACCACCACCGUGUGGCUAAGCCAACCUCUGCUCCACGUGGGGGCCCCUCUGGCCACGCCAGGACCUUUCAUCUCAACCACCCACCAAAGCAAGUGUCAACAUCUCCUUACAGAUUUGCAUCAGAAAUGUUAAGAAAUGUUACUACAGGCAGCAGAAGAGCCACUCCUUACCUCCUGUUAAAACAUUAUAAAAAGGAAAUGUGUGAGGAAGAAGAGCAUAGGUUUGUGUACUAAAUCUCAGAAGAGCAGCUUUUCAAAACUCUGUCAGGCCUGGGAGACAAAGGAAAUAUAUCUUGACCUCACAGAGAGCAUUCAGGUGGAAAAAAGUAAUUUUUUUAACUUGAAAUUUACAUUUAACUAAAAUGAAUUUGUCUCACAAUGAAGAAAGACUAAAUAAAUCAUGGUAUAGCCUAAGUGGAAAAUGGUUCCACUGUUAGAAAUCCGCAUUGAUAAAAGCCAUUCACUAACGUCGGUGAGGCAGGAGAACAGUGGCUGGAGGGAGAGAACAUAAGGCCGAUUCACGCUGAUUUCCUAGAACUAAAUCAAAUGGAAACACUUCAGUGAUGACAGGUAAUACCCUCUCCAUUUACAUAGGGCAUACACAGAGUAAAUGACUUUGUAACUUAACUUCAUGCUCUUCAUUACACAGGGCAUACACCAAUAUAAACCAAUGGAAGUAACCAAUGGAAACCUCUAGAGGGUAUUUAAACCCCAGAAAAUUCUGUAACUGGGCUCUUGAGCCCGUGUGCUAGGACCACUCCCACCCUGUGGAGUGUACUUUCAUUUUCAAUAAAUCUCUGA